UUUCCUACGGGGGGCAGCAGUGGGGAAUAUUGCACAAUGGGGGAAACCCUGAUGCAGCAACGCCGCGUGAGUGAAGAAGUAUUUCGGUAUGUAAAGCUCUAUCAGCAGGGAAGAAGAUGACGGCACCUGACCAAGAAGCCCCGGCUAAAUACGUGCCAGCAGCCGCGGUAAUACGUAUGGUGCAAGCGUUAUCCGGAUUUACUGGGUGUAAAGGGAGCGCAGGCGGCACGGCAAGCCUGAUGUGAAAGCCCGCGGCCCAACCGCGGGACUGCAUUGGGAACUACCGGGCUGGAGUGCCGGAGAGG
Molecule: ribosomal RNA, 305 nt
Filed under: uncultured bacterium
Lineage: Bacteria
Description: bacterial SSU rRNA
Rfam family: Bacterial small subunit ribosomal RNA
Source: RNAcentral